RNAcentral lists this ribosomal RNA (646 nucleotides) under Pseudoalteromonas sp. G4. Its description in RNAcentral is "partial 23S ribosomal RNA". It matches the Rfam family "Bacterial large subunit ribosomal RNA", at positions 2284 to 2925 of the family's 2925-position model. The record is from RNAcentral. Lineage: Bacteria; Pseudomonadati; Pseudomonadota; Gammaproteobacteria; Alteromonadales; Pseudoalteromonadaceae.
CUCCUCCCAAAGAGUAACGGAGGAGCACGAAGGUUUGCUAAGUACGGUCGGACAUCGUACGGUUAGUGUAAUGGUAGAAGCAAGCUUAACUGCGAGACAGACACGUCGAGCAGGUACGAAAGUAGGUCAUAGUGAUCCGGUGGUUCUGAAUGGAAGGGCCAUCGCUCAACGGAUAAAAGGUACUCCGGGGAUAACAGGCUGAUACCGCCCAAGAGUUCAUAUCGACGGCGGUGUUUGGCACCUCGAUGUCGGCUCAUCACAUCCUGGGGCUGAAGUCGGUCCCAAGGGUAUGGCUGUUCGCCAUUUAAAGUGGUACGCGAGCUGGGUUUAGAACGUCGUGAGACAGUUCGGUCCCUAUCUGCCGUGGGCGUUUGAGAAUUGAGAGGGGCUGCUCCUAGUACGAGAGGACCGGAGUGGACGAACCGCUGGUGUUCGGGUUGUGAUGCCAAUUGCAUUGCCCGGUAGCUACGUUCGGAAUCGAUAACCGCUGAAAGCAUCUAAGCGGGAAGCGAGCCUCGAGAUGAGUUCUCACUUUAACUUGAGUUAACUGAAGGGCCGUUGAAGACUACAACGUUGAUAGGCGAGAUGUGGAAGUGCUGUGAGGCAUUAAGCUAACUCGUACUAAUUACCCGUGAGGCUUAACCAU